This 253-nucleotide ribosomal RNA is filed under the name uncultured bacterium. RNAcentral describes it as "partial 16S ribosomal RNA". It matches the Rfam family "Bacterial small subunit ribosomal RNA", at positions 524 to 776 of the family's 1533-position model. The record is from RNAcentral.
UACGGAGAGGGCUAGCGUUGUUCGGAAUUACUGGGCGUAAAGCGUGUGUAGGCGGUCCACUAAGUCGGGUGUGAAAGCCCUGGGCUCAACCCAGGAAGUGCACUCGAAACUGGCGGGCUAGAGUAUCGGAGAGGUUGGUGGAAUUCUCGGUGUAGAGGUGAAAUUCGUAGAUAUCGAGAGGAACACCGGUGGCGAAGGCAGGUCUCUGGGCUGACACUGACGCUCAUGCACGAAAGCGUGGGGAGCAAACAGG